This 253-nucleotide ribosomal RNA is filed under the name uncultured bacterium. RNAcentral describes it as "partial 16S ribosomal RNA". It matches the Rfam family "Bacterial small subunit ribosomal RNA", at positions 524 to 776 of the family's 1533-position model. The record is from RNAcentral.
UACAGGGGGUGCAAACGUUGCUCGGAAUUAUUGGGCGUAAAGGGCGCGUAGGCGGCUUCAUAAGUCAAAGGUGAAAUCCCUCGGCUCAACUGAGGAACUGCCUUUGAAACUGUGGAGCUUGAGGCCGGGAGGGGGUAGCGGAAUUCCCAGUGUAGCGGUGAAAUGCGUAGAUAUUGGGAGGAACACCAGUGGCGAAGGCGGCUACCUGGACCGGAACUGACGCUGAUGCGCGAAAGCGUGGGUAGCAAACAGG